RNAcentral lists this ribosomal RNA (253 nucleotides) under uncultured bacterium. Its description in RNAcentral is "partial 16S ribosomal RNA". It matches the Rfam family "Bacterial small subunit ribosomal RNA", at positions 524 to 776 of the family's 1533-position model. The record is from RNAcentral.
UACGUAGGGGGCAAGCGUUGUCCGGAUUUAUUGGGCGUAAAGAGCGUGUAGGCGGCUUUGCAAGUCCGUUGUGAAAACUCGAGGCUCAACCUCGAGACGCCGGUGGAAACUGCAAAGCUAGAGUCCGGAAGAGGAGAGUGGAAUUCCUGGUGUAGCGGUGAAAUGCGUAGAUAUCGAGAGGAACACCUGCGGCGAAGGCGGGUAGCUGGGCCGACACUGACGCUGAGGCGCGAAAGCCAGGGGAGCGAACGGG